RNAcentral lists this ribosomal RNA (175 nucleotides) under uncultured Lachnospiraceae bacterium. RNAcentral's name for it is "partial 16S ribosomal RNA". It matches the Rfam family "Bacterial small subunit ribosomal RNA", at positions 1208 to 1381 of the family's 1533-position model. Lineage: Bacteria; Bacillati; Bacillota; Clostridia; Lachnospirales; Lachnospiraceae. The record is from RNAcentral.
CUUGGGCUACACACGUGCUACAAUGGCUGAAACAAAGGGAAGCGACAACGCAAGUUGAAGCGGAUCUCACAAAAACAGUCCCAGUUCGGAUUGUGGGCCGCAACCCGCCCACAUGAAGUCGGAGUUGCUAGUAAUCGCGGAUCAGCAUGCCGCGGUGAAUACGUUCCCGGGCCUA